AAAUAAUUACGUUUAAUCACAGUAGUGGUACGCACGACAAUAUACAACAGUAUACGAUGUUAGAAAUCUUAACGCUGGUCGGGCACCGAGAACAAAUUAGUUUAUUUUACAUACCUCGGUGACUGGUUUUACUCCAGGCCAUUGCAAAAUUACCUGGCACUAAGCAGUGCUAAACUGUUGUGUUUUUUAAUCUUUUCAUCAAAAAGGCUUACCCUUUUACUCUACAAUAUGUAUUUCAACCAACCGAUAUACUCUAGCCAGUUUUAAAUAUAAAUAUAUAAGCGAAAACAAUAAUUGUUUUUAUUUAUAUUUUAGCAAACGCCACAAUAAAAUAGUAGUUCUAUGAUUGAAAUUUGAGAAACUUAACUCCACAGUGGACCACGUAUUGUCAUAGCCAGACUACAGGUAUGUAUGUAUUAUUCUGUGGAUAAACAAUUGGCAUUCGAACUUAUUAUAAUACUAUUCAGUAAUUAAGGUUACCCGUGAAAUCUAAAGGCUGUAAUAUGUGAGUUAAGGCCUCGUUAAUAAUUGUGACAUGGGGUCAUUUGUCAAAGUCCGCUUUAUAAUAUACAUUUUGCAUAUAUUUUUGUAUUCGACUUUAGUCAAAGACAUGACAAGACUUUCGAUAAGAGAAAAUAGAAUGACUAUUUAAAUUGUACCGUUCUUUUUCAUGGUUAAAACAUAAAGUAAGUGAAAUCAGCAUGUUGUUAUCCAAUACCAAUUAAACUAUUGUUAUAGCGUAAUUUCGUACUUAUACGGUACCACUGGUAGGUGGUAAUCAGCAUGUUGUUAUCAAAUACCAAUUAAAGUUAGCACACUGUUAUAUCGUAACAACAUGUAUAUAACCCAAACUGUGUCACCAACAGUACAACAGUAAACAGAGUACAAGAUCUAUGUAAGAUUUCCAUUUGCACCCCACCCAACAAUGCCUGUGUUAUUGUUAAGUUUAUACAUUUAUGGUAUUUUGUAUCUAUCGAUGUGAUGAUUUAUGUAGCGCAUUCUCUAUAUCGAGUAUGUAUGGAUUGGUUUAUUCGGUUUAAGGUCCUAUAAACAGCCAGGGUCAUAGUAUGUAUUGGAACGAAGAUGACCAAUAUCGACCGUGGCCGGAGGCCGAAGUUGAUAUUGGGUGUCCGAGCCCCAUGAAUCAUCAUAUCGAUAGAAACAAGGUGCUAAACUGUUUUAUUACAUUUUGGUGUCAAAACCUGAGAAUGAUGAAGGUAUGAUUCCGUGCCAUUUCAACUGCAUCUUAUUUCAUGAUAUUCAACACAACGUCAUAAUACCGCAUCUUUGAUAAUACAUCGUAAUUCACUCUCGUGCAACUUGAUGGGAAUCGAGGUGUCUGACAAAUAUGAAUGACAGAAAUUACGCUUCGUCACAGUACACUUGCAUGAACGUGUAAUACGAUGAUUUAUCAGUCCCGGAGCGCAUUUCGAUGUUAAAUGGAACGACACGUGCUCGGAUGUAGACCAAUCAGCAUAUGAUUUUUAUUUAUUUAAGGGCUUAACGUCCGCUAUAACAGCCUUAAUACCUUUCAGUUGGCAUCUGGUAGGAAACUGAAAAGGUAAUAAUAACUGUGAUUGUACUAAACUACACCCAUCCGCUAAUACCUACAUUGGGUUUUUUCCUCAAUCAUCCUGAGAGCUUUAUGAAGUCGUUAACAUUUUUGACAAUAUCAAUUAAUUUUCAAUAGGGUUGCAAAUGGAAUUCUUUUCCAAUAACAAAUUAACAACUGCAAAUACACAUAACUUCUAAAAAUGUGUUAAACCAGUAAUACAAGUGAUUUGACUUUAUGUCUACGUAGUGAACAAAGCCCUAUAACAACUAAUGUAAUCAGCCUGUAGUACAGUGUAGGUUUGGUCAACAAUUGAUGUAAUACAGUGUAGGUUUGGUCAACAAUUGAUGUAAUACAGUGUAGAUUUGGUCAACAACUAAUGUAAUCAGCCUGUAGUACAGUGUAGGUUUGGUCAACAUUGAUGUAAUACAGUGUAGAUUUGGUCAACAACUAAUGUAAUCAGACUGUAGUACAGUGUAGGUGUGGUCAACAAUUGAUGUAAUUAGACUAAUACAGUGUAUGUGUGGUCAACAAUUGAUGUAAUCAGACUGUAGUACAGUGUAGGUGUGGUCAACAAUUGAUGUAAUCAGACUGUAGUACAGUGUAGGUUUGGUCAACAUUGAUGUAAUACAGUGUAGGUAUGGUCAUCAAUUGAUGUAGUACAGUGUAGGUGUGGUCAACAAUUGAUGUAAUCAGACUGUAAUACAGUGAAGGUGUGGUCAACAAUUGAUGUAAUACAGUGUAGGUGUGGUCAACAAUUGAUGUAAUACAGUGUAGGUUUGGUCAACAAUUG
This is a long non-coding RNA of Pecten maximus, 2345 nucleotides long. RefSeq lists it as uncharacterized. The transcript has 3 exons. The record is from RefSeq and is a predicted model, not a curated record. NCBI's taxonomy places the organism in Eukaryota, Metazoa, Mollusca, Bivalvia, Pectinida, Pectinidae.